RNAcentral lists this long non-coding RNA (1141 nucleotides) under Geospiza fortis (medium ground-finch). RNAcentral describes it as "lncRNA (ENSGFOG00000013197.1)". The record is from RNAcentral. Lineage: Eukaryota; Metazoa; Chordata; Aves; Passeriformes; Thraupidae.
GAUCCUACCAUGGCCACAGCUCUGCUGGAAUUCCAGAGAAUCCCACUGUGACCACAGCUCUGCUGGAAUUCCAGAGGAUCCCACCAUGAUCACAGUUGUGCUGGAAUUCCAGAGGAUCUCACCAUGAUCACAGCUCUACUGGAAUUCCAGAGGAUCCCACUGUGACCACAGCUGUGCUGGAAUUCCAGAGGAUCCCACCAUGAUCACAGUUGUGCUGCAAAAGCUUCUGGAGGAACCCUCCAUGAACACAGCCACCCUUCCUGGGUACAGCCACCCCUCCUGGGUCACAGCCACCCUUCCUGGGCCCAGCCACCCUUCCUGGGCACAGCCACUCCUCCUGGGCCCAGCCACCCUUCCUGGGGUGCUCCACGGCCCGGGGAUGAGGACACCCUCACACCCUCAGCUCCAGAGUUGUUUCCCACACCCUGGGUGAGAACAGAGGCCAGAGAAGGUCUCUGGUUCAUCCCUUUGAGGCUCCACGAGCUGCUGAUCCACUGAAGGGGAACUGGGACUGCUGGAAAACAAGGAGGGGAGGAAAUUCUAUUCCUGCAGCCCCCCAAGCUUCCCCUCAUUCUGAGUCUGUGCUUCCUGACCCCAACUCCCAGAUGCUUUCCAGGAAAUUAAAUAACAAACCAGCUCUCCCAACCACAGAAUCAGGGAAUCCCAGACUGGUUUGGGCUGGAAGGGACUUUAAAGCUCACCCAGUGCCAUGGCAGGGCCACCUUCCACUGUUCCAGGCUGCUCCAAGCCUCCCCAGCCUGGCCUUGCCAGGGCUGGGGUGGUUUCCCAGGGCUGGCAUGGUUUCCCAGGGCUGGCAUGGUUCCCCAGGGCCAGCUCGCUCUGGGGGAUGCCCUGGGACACCCCUGGCUGUGGGGGCACCUGUGGGCAGCCCUGAGCCCACAGCAUGGAAGGGACUCCUCCAACACUUUCCCCUGCUCCCUCCUGCCAGGCUGGGCACAGCCUGGGCCUGGCUGCUGCCAGGCGAGGGAGCUCAGUCCUCGGAGCAAGCUACAGCCUGGGCUGGGGGAGAAGGGACAAAGGUCCUGGAGGGACAGAACAGGGUGCUAUGGGGCACAGAACAGGUGUUAUGGGGCACGGAACAGGGUGCUAUGGGGCACAGAACAGGUGUUAUGGGGCACAG